Long non-coding RNA from Limulus polyphemus (Atlantic horseshoe crab), 1164 nucleotides. RefSeq lists it as uncharacterized. The transcript has 3 exons. The record is from RefSeq and is a predicted model, not a curated record. NCBI's taxonomy places the organism in Eukaryota, Metazoa, Arthropoda, Merostomata, Xiphosura, Limulidae.
UGUAUUUGCUUUGGCUACGUAUAUAGUGUAUCCCUGGAGAAUCCCCAAGUUUUCUAGUGGUUAUAUGUUCACGGUUGAGCUUAGUUUAGUAGUCCUACGUACAUAGCUAUUUUACUAAAUAUGUUAUAUUGUAUAAAAUUAAGUAAUCUUUUGAAUUUUCUCUUUUCUCGUAAGUAUCCUCAAAUGUUGUACCCGAAAUUAUGUAGAGGUUCUUCGUUUGGGCUUUGCUAUAAGUGGGAGGUUAUUUCAAUGACUAUUGGAUAGCACAAGUAAUAUAUAUAGGUAGUCCACGACUUACAGCGAUGGGGUAACAUGUCUGUCAGAGAAGGGAAACGUUUGGAAUGGGCAGAUAAUUCUAUCAAGACUAUAUAGCUGUAUUCAUGAGAUUUUACCGAAACGUUGAAGCUACUGUGUAAAGGACCAUUAACGCAAAGCAACACCCCUUUCAUGUUCAAAAGUUUCAUCUGAGGAGAGAUGAGGGAUAGAAGAGAUCCGGUCCGUGGAGGAUUUAUGUUGUCCAUUGAAAGUGAUGGGCUAGUGAUUUUGGUGUUCUGGUAUGGUAUGGAUGAUGGAUCAGUAGUACUGUGGUUCUGGUUUAUCAUGGAUGAUGGGUUGGUGGCUGAGCGGGAAGAGUGAGGGCUUAUAACGCUAAUAUUAAGGGCUUGAUCUCUCCAAGUGUCCUCGUAUUAACUUGUGGUUAAUAAAAAAGCACAUACACGUCUAAACUAGUCACGUAAAUUCUUUUAUUUGUAGAAGUAACAAGUUAGUUACCAGAUUCAGUUCAUAGAUACGCCGUUCUUUGUAUUCUUAUACGAGUUACAUAGCUUUUGAACAUCACAAUGCUCAUGUUUGAUACUCAAAUACAUUAAUCAAAGGUUAAUACAUCUCAGAAGCAGUGCCACAUUGGGCUAUCUGCCGAGUCCAUCGCGAGGAAUAAACCCCGGAUUUUAGCUUUGUAAGUACUUAAACUUACCGCUGUCCCACCGGGGGACUGGAACCUAGGUAGGGUUUAAAUUAGGUGAAUAUUAGGAGACCUGAUGGCUUUAGAGACACAAGGCUACAGCAUAGGCACAGAGGGAAUUACAUUGUUUUAUUUAAAACACAAUUAAAUUAAGUAUUGUAUUAGUAAUGUUGACAAUAACACUGCCCCCCACUGGCACAGCG